AACGAACGCUGGCGGCAGGCCUAACACAUGCAAGUCGAGCGAGGACUUCGGUUCUAGCGGCGGACGGGUGAGUAACGCGUGGGAAUGUGCCCUUCUCUACGGAAUAGCCCUGGGAAACUGGGAGUAAUACCGUAUACGCCCUAUUGGGGAAAGAUUUAUCGGAGAAGGAUCAGCCUGCGUUGGAUUAGGUAGUUGGUGGGGUAAUGGCCUACCAAGCCGACGAUCCAUAGCUGGUUUGAGAGGAUGAUCAGCCACACUGGGACUGAGACACGGCCCAGACUCCUACGGGAGGCAGCAGUGGGGAAUCUUAGACAAUGGGGGCAACCCUGAUCUAGCCAUGCCGCGUGAGUGAUGAAGGCCUUAGGGUUGUAAAGCUCUUUCAGCUGGGAAGAUAAUGACGGUACCAGCAGAAGAAGCCCCGGCUAACUCCGUG
RNAcentral lists this ribosomal RNA (433 nucleotides) under uncultured bacterium. RNAcentral's name for it is "partial 16S ribosomal RNA". It matches the Rfam family "Bacterial small subunit ribosomal RNA", at positions 29 to 507 of the family's 1533-position model. The record is from RNAcentral.